This 273-nucleotide ribosomal RNA is filed under the name uncultured bacterium. RNAcentral's name for it is "partial 16S ribosomal RNA". It matches the Rfam family "Bacterial small subunit ribosomal RNA", at positions 82 to 354 of the family's 1533-position model. The record is from RNAcentral.
CUUCCGCCGGCGACCGGCGCACGGGUGAGUAACACGUAUGCAACCUGCCCCUGUCAGGGGGACAACCCGCCGAAAGGCGGGCUAAACCCGCGUACAUGCCACCGGGGCAUCCCGGAGGCAGGAAAGGCUUCGGCCGGACAGGGAUGGGCAUGCGGCGCAUUAGGCAGUAGGCGGGGUAACGACCCACCUAACCGACGAUGCGUAGGGGUUCUGAGAGGAAGGUCCCCCACACUGGUACUGAGACACGGACCAGACUCCUACGGAAGGCAGCAG